UAUUUGAGAUGAUGUCAUGUAGUAACAAAGAGUCUAAAUUAUGAAAUGUUCUCACGCAUACUUUACAGGUAUUAACCUUAUUAAGGGGGAAAACGGGCGGUCUCGCUAACAAGGAUUCCUACAAAAAAAUAAUAGGGUUAUGUACGAUUAUUUUUUUAUGAGAGCUUUGCUUUUUGUGACAAGGGGGAUAAGUUGAAAUAAUGCUGCUUAUGCAAUACUCGAACGGCCCCUUAAAGUUAGGAUCUAAAGUAUUAAUAAAAAUUACAAAGCAAUAGGAUGAUAACGAUAUGAUUAAGACAUGUUUGUUUUUUUUUGUUCUAUAAGAAUCUAAUUCAAAUUAAUAUUUUUUUUAGGUAUUACAAAUAUUUCACAUAUAUCUACAGAUACGCGGAUAAUUAAUAUUCAGUCUCAAACUGAGGAGUGUAACAGUAUAAAUAAUGACUCGAAGGAUGAACAAAUUAAGUCACUGAGAAAACAAUGCAGCCUUUUAAAAGCAAAGCUUAAGAAGCAACAGCAAAGGAUAUCGAGUUAUAAGGAAGAAAUUAAAAAAUCUAAAUAUCUUACAAAAGAAAAGUUUGAUGCCCUAACGGAGAGGGUACCGGAACUGGGCAGGCGACUCAUGUGGAUGCAAUUACACCAGCCAAAGAAAAAGAAUGGUCAUCGGUUUGAUACAAAGGAGAAGUUAAUGUGUCUCGCGAUUAAGAAGUAUAAACCCGAAUGCUUUAAGUUUUUGAAAAAGACAUUUCUUAUGCCCGGCAAUAAGACGUUGAAGAACUUUAUAACAAAACUGCAAUUGCCUGAUUCGAAGCCGGAGGAAGACGAACCUAAUAUCGAUGACAUUGAAAACGAAGAAGUCGUUUCCGACACUUUGGUUGAUAGAGCGGCUUCGGAAACUGAAAUUUCAUAUGAGAUGCACAAAAAUGUUCUCGGAGAAUUCAUACAAUUUAAUAAUAGCACCAAUUUGGCUGAUUUUACUGACUUUCAGCAUGGUUUAUGUUAGCGAAAGUGUCUAGUGAUUUUAUAUAUUUCUGUAUAAUUAUGGAGCGGACGCGGAAAUGUGACAUGGCAGGACUCCUAAGAGAUAUUUUCGUAUAAAAAAAGGUUUUGUUAUAUUAUUUGGUAGCUGGUCUUUUCCAGUAACACUUUAAUGUAACAGUGAAGUGAAAUUGGGCUUCUGUCGGUGUUCAUAAAAUUGUGACUUGUAUUGUGAUAUAACAAAUUAAUAAACAAUAGAGGAGUACAAUACUCUGUAAUUUUUAUAGCCUGUAGGAAGUUGGAGUUUAGCUAUAGUUGUCUCAAGAAAAACACUUUUUGAACGGAUUAAAGUUAUGUAUUAUUAUUAAAACUUAUAAUUAUUUACAUAAUUCUAAAUUUUAAAUUUUUUAAACGCUGAAGCACGCGAAACGUCGGAAAAGCUAUUUUAACAAAAGACAAUACUAUAGUUGCCUCGUUAUAUAUGUUUAAUAAAUGAAAUCGAAUUAAAACAAUUUUUGUUCUGAGAAUGAGAUUUAAGACUUAUGACGUAUUUCAAAAUCUGAUACACUUUUGACAGAUGUCUUAUCGACCAAGUAUUUGACAUACGCAAGUCAUACACAAGAAUUCAUAUCUCGAGACACUUCCUAUCUCGUCUUGAGCGCUGUCCGGCAUUCAAGUCACAACACACACACACACAACUUCACACCUCUUGAAACUGGUCCGUUUCACAACUCUUGAAAUUUGAUUUAAGUUUGACAGUUCCAGGAAGUAGGUUUUUUAUUUUAUAAAACAGGACCAAACGGACAGAAGGCUCACUAGUUGUCAAGUGACCAUAUACACUGAAUGCCAGAGGGCUUGCGAGUGCGUUGCCAUCCUUUUAAGAACUGCUACGCUCUUGACUAGAAGGAAUAACCGUAAAUGGUCCUACAACCCGAAUUGUUUCGGAAAUGUGGGCAUUACACAGUAGUGAUGCGCGGCAAAAACUGCCUUAAAAACGCUCAGUUGUUGACGGAUAUCGAGGGGAUACAGCUAGAUGUACCAUGUUCAUGAUAAUAUAUCAUGAAAGACCUGGUAAAAAUACUGGAAUUGUGAUUCUAAGAAUACCUAGUCGUAUGUAAGUUGUGUGAUAGUUAAAGUAGUUGUAUACUGUAUAAUAAUUGCUGAAAAGCACAGAAAAUCUAAUUAUGUACUAUUGAAAUAAAUUAGUCUUAAGUAAUUAAA
This is a long non-coding RNA of Pieris brassicae (large cabbage white), 2196 nucleotides long. RefSeq lists it as uncharacterized. Lineage: Eukaryota; Metazoa; Arthropoda; Insecta; Lepidoptera; Pieridae. The transcript has 3 exons. The record is from RefSeq and is a predicted model, not a curated record.